GACUUACUAUAAAGGAAGGAGAACGAGGACAUGAAGAAUGACACGUGGUAAACCCUAGAGAGAGCUACACACAUACAUCGACCUUGUUUUCAUCUCAAUCUUAGAUCUUUUCUUUACCGAUCUCAUUUGUAUCAUUCGAUUUAGUUCAACUCAUUGUAUUCGAUCUUAUUCAUCAAUAAAGUCCAUUUUUACCUACUAGAAACUGUUUACAUUGCUGUGUUCUAAAGAUAUCGUUGCCUACAUCAUUUGUCUUCCUUAGAUCAAACUCCCGAUC
This 274-nucleotide long non-coding RNA is filed under the name Brassica napus (rape). Its description in RNAcentral is "long non-coding RNA (BNAP_LNC018628)". Lineage: Eukaryota; Viridiplantae; Streptophyta; Magnoliopsida; Brassicales; Brassicaceae. The record is from RNAcentral.